Molecule: small nuclear RNA, 106 nt
Organism: Vulpes vulpes (red fox)
Lineage: Eukaryota; Metazoa; Chordata; Mammalia; Carnivora; Canidae
Source: Ensembl
GUACCCAUUUCGGCAGCACAUAUACUAAAAUUAGAACAAUACAGAAAAGAUUAGCAUGGUCCCUGUGCAAGGAUGAAUGUAAAUUCGUAAAGCAUUCUACUUUUUU